GGUUAUACCAAGUGAUUAAGUUAUAUUUUUAGGUAAAAAGACAGUUAGGUUUUAACAAUUAGUUUAUUGACCAUCUAUAAAAAAGUAAAAUUUGUAUAUAGAUAGCUAAUUUAAUAAUAACUAAUUUUACUGAAGCUGUGAUAGUCUUGAGGGAAACUGGGAUUAGAUACCCCAUUAUUCUUGACUGUAAAUAUAAUAAAAUUUACCAGAGUACUAUGAAUAGUUAAAAAUUUAAAACUCAAAGGGCUUGGCGGUGUUUUAGACCUAUCAGGGGAACCUGUCUCGUAAUCGACAAUCCACGCUAUACCUAACCUUAUUUUGUAUUCAGUUUGUAUACCGUCGUCGUCAGGUAACUUUUAAAAAUAUAGAAGUUAGCAACAAAAAUUAUAUAAAUUAAGACGUCAGAUCAAGGUGCAGCCUAUAAUAAGGAGAGGAUGGGUUACAAUUAUCAAAUUUAUAAUUACGGAAAUUUAAGUGAAACCUUAUUUAGAAGGAGGACUUGAAAGUAAAUUAAAAUAUGUAAAUAUAUUGAAUAAGGCUCUG
This 543-nucleotide ribosomal RNA is filed under the name Naytia glabrata. RNAcentral describes it as "partial 12S ribosomal RNA". Lineage: Eukaryota; Metazoa; Mollusca; Gastropoda; Neogastropoda; Nassariidae. The record is from RNAcentral.